UAAUACGUAGGGUGCGAGCGUUAAUCGGAAUUACUGGGCGUAAAGCGUGCGCAGGCGGUUUCGUAAGACAGGCGUGAAAUCCCCGGGCUUAACCUGGGAACUGCGCUUGUGACUGCGAGGCUAGAGUACGGCAGAGGGAGGUAGAAUUCCACGUGUAGCAGUGAAAUGCGUAGAGAUGUGGAGGAAUACCGAUGGCGAAGGCAGCCUCCUGGGCCAGUACUGACGCUCAUGCACGAAAGCGUGGGGAGCAAACAGGAUUAGAUACCCUGGUAGUCCACGCCCUAAACGAUGUCAACUAGGUGUUGGUGGGGUUAAACCCAUUAGUACCGCAGCUAACGCGUGAAGUUGACCGCCUGGGGAGUACGGCCGCAAGGUUAAAACUCAAAUGAAUUGACGG
Molecule: ribosomal RNA, 397 nt
Filed under: bacterium enrichment culture
Lineage: Bacteria
Description: bacterial SSU rRNA
Rfam family: Bacterial small subunit ribosomal RNA
Source: RNAcentral